Long non-coding RNA from Macadamia integrifolia, 817 nucleotides. RefSeq lists it as uncharacterized. The record is from RefSeq and is a predicted model, not a curated record. NCBI's taxonomy places the organism in Eukaryota, Viridiplantae, Streptophyta, Magnoliopsida, Proteales, Proteaceae. The transcript is spliced from 5 exons.
AGGCCUAAUUGCCCAAAGAACUACUGGAGUCUGGAAGUCACAAGGAGCCGCUUCCCUCUUCAGACUUCGCUCUAGUCGCCGCAUGCCGCUGGUAGCUGCUUCCCUCUAGUCGCCGCUAUUAGCCGGUGCCCUCUUCCCUCUAGUCGCCGCUGUUAGCCGGUGCCCUCUUCCCUCUAGUCUUCUUCAUCCUCAGCCUCAAAGAUCAAAGAUUCGAUAAUGUAAUCUUAAAUCUUAAUCUCUCAAGCUCUCAUCUUCCUCAAAUUUUCAGACUUUGGUUUCCUUCGUAAUAGACUCUCUCUGGUUCUGAUAAUAUCAAAGAAGCCAUUACUGGUUCUGAUAUAAGUUCCCUCACCCCCCAGUAUGCUUAUACCUGCUUCCUAUCUGGGUGGAAAUUGGUGAAGAAAACAAAGAAGAGGAAAAGAAGGAAGAGGAGAAGAAAGAGGAAGGAUGCACAGAAGCAGAGAAAAAGAAAGAACAGGAUGAGAAGAAGGCAGAAGAGCCUCAAGAGAUCGUCCUCAAAGUUUACAUGCAUUAGGAUUUGAAGGGGUUGAGGAAGUGGUGACAGACAACAAGUGUGAUAAGGUGGUACUGUGAUAGUGGAGGGUAAGACAGCUGCCCUUCUUAAAUUGAAUGGGGAAUGUGGAAUAUUGUUGUAGAUUGUAAGGUGAAUAAUGAAAGUAAGUUUUUUCUUUCAUUGUAUACCAGUGAAUCAAAAAUACAAUUACAGGUAUGUAAUGUUCUUGAAUCAUUUAAUUGUUAAAAAGAGUGUAAUUAUUGUAAUUUAGAUUACAUUUUAUAGACAUGAUUCCCUUGGAUA